UGAUCAAUUUCCUUUUUCAGCAAAACCUUUCUUGGCUGCACAACGUAUUUUAAUCUGCGUGCAAUGUAUGAACUCGUGAUAUAUGCGGACGAAGUGGAGGUAGUUACUACAGUGUCAAGGAGUUUGCACUUCCAUGAAGGAUCGGUGGACGAUUUUAGCUCAACGGCUGUUUAUGCCUGCUGGCGAAGAAACGAUGGACUGUUGUCCCGCCAAGGUGCCGAUAAUGAAAGAAAACGUACCUUAUCAAGACAGUGUGACGUCCACAAGCAAGUGCCACAGAUUUUUUAUGCUCAUGACAUGGAUGCAGCUCUGUGAAAGAAGUGGCAAGAACAGUGCGGUCACCUAGGGAGCUCCACGGACAGAUCAUGACUGCAAAGCGGCGCCAGCAGUUGCUGCUGUCACGAGUAUGUGUAUUUAUUCUGCCAGAACAUUGAGCAAUUUUUCUAU
Ornithodoros turicata is the source of this 447-nucleotide long non-coding RNA. RefSeq lists it as uncharacterized. The transcript is spliced from 3 exons. The record is from RefSeq and is a predicted model, not a curated record. Lineage: Eukaryota; Metazoa; Arthropoda; Arachnida; Ixodida; Argasidae.